RNAcentral lists this ribosomal RNA (231 nucleotides) under uncultured bacterium. RNAcentral describes it as "partial 16S ribosomal RNA". It matches the Rfam family "Bacterial small subunit ribosomal RNA", at positions 256 to 504 of the family's 1533-position model. The record is from RNAcentral.
GGUAAUGGCCCACCAAGUCGACGAUCGGUAGCCGGACUGAGAGGUUGAACGGCCACAUUGGGACUGAGACACGGCCCAGACUCCUACGGGAGGCAGCAGUGAGGGAUAUUGGUCAAUGGGGGAAACCCUGAACCAGCAACGCCGCGUGAGGGAUGACGGCCUUCGGGUUGUAAACCUCUGUCCUCUGUGAAGAUAAUGACGGUACUUGAGGAGGAAGCCCCGGCUAACUAC